AUUGAACGCUGGCGGAAUGCUUACACAUGCAAGUCGAACGGCAGCACGGGGCAACCUGGUGGCGAGUGGCGAACGGGUGAGUAAUACAUCGGAACGUGCCCAAUCGUGGGGGAUAACGUAGCGAAAGUUACGCUAAUACCGCAUACGAUCUACGGAUGAAAGCGGGGGAUCGCAAGACCUCGCGCGAGUGGAGCGGCCGAUGUCAGAUUAGGUAGUUGGUGGGGUAAAGGCUCACCAAGCCAACGAUCUGUAGCUGGUCUGAGAGGACAACCAGCCACACUGGAACUGAGACACGGUCCAGACUCCUACGGGAGGCAGCAGUGGGGAAUUUUGGACAAUGGGCGCAAGCCUGAUCCAGCCAUUCCGCGUGCAGGAUGAAGGCCUUCGGGUUGUAAACUGCUUUUGUACGGAACGAAACGGCGAGCUCUAAUACAGUUUGCUAAUGACGGUACCGUAAGAAUAAGCACCGGCUAACUACGUG
This 481-nucleotide ribosomal RNA is filed under the name uncultured bacterium. RNAcentral's name for it is "bacterial SSU rRNA". It matches the Rfam family "Bacterial small subunit ribosomal RNA", at positions 30 to 507 of the family's 1533-position model. The record is from RNAcentral.